GAGUGCGAUCAUACCAGCACUAAUGCACCGGAUCCCAUCAGAACUCCGAAGUUAAACGUGCUUGGGAGAGAGCAGUACUAAGAUGGGUGACCUCUUGGGAAGUCUUCUUUUUUUUGUUUUUU
This is a ribosomal RNA of Manihot esculenta (cassava), 122 nucleotides long. Lineage: Eukaryota; Viridiplantae; Streptophyta; Magnoliopsida; Malpighiales; Euphorbiaceae. The record is from RefSeq and is a predicted model, not a curated record.